Molecule: ribosomal RNA, 468 nt
Filed under: uncultured bacterium
Lineage: Bacteria
Description: partial 16S ribosomal RNA
Rfam family: Bacterial small subunit ribosomal RNA
Source: RNAcentral
GACGAACGCUGGCGGCGUGCCUAACACAUGCAAGUCGAACGGAAAGGCCCUGCUUUUGUGCGGUUCUCGAUUGGCGAACGGGUGAGUAACACGUGUGUAUCCUGCCCUUGACUUUGGGAUAACUUCACGAAACUGGGGCUAAUACCGGAUAGGAGCUCUUGAUGCAUGGUGGGGGUUGGAAAGUUUCGGCGGUUGGGGAUGGACUCGCGGGUUAUCAGCUUGUUUGUGGGGUAGUGGCUUACCAAGGCUUUGAAGGGUAGCCGGCCUGGGAGGGUGAGCGGCGACAUUGGGACUGAGGGACGGCCCAGACACCUACGGGAGGCAGCAGUGGGGAAUAUUGCACAAUGGGCGGAAGCCGGAUGAAGAAACGCCGCGGGCGGGAUGACGGCCUUCGGGUUGUAAACCGCAUUCGCCUGUGACGAAGCGUGAGUGACGGUAAUGGGUAAAGAAGCACCGGCUAACUACGUG